This 314-nucleotide unclassified non-coding RNA is filed under the name uncultured Thelephoraceae. Its description in RNAcentral is "sequence contains ITS2". Lineage: Eukaryota; Fungi; Basidiomycota; Agaricomycetes; Thelephorales; Thelephoraceae. The record is from RNAcentral.
AACGCACCUUGCGCCCUUUGGCUAUUCCGAAGGGCAUGCCUGUUUGAGUAUCAUGAACACCUCAACUCUCAUGGUUUGCCAUGACGAGCUUGGACUUUGGGGGUCUUGCUGGCCUAUGGUCGGCUCCUCUCAAACAAAUCAGCUUGCCAGUGUUUGGUGGCAUCACAGGUGUGAUAACUAUCUACGCUUGUGGUUUUCCACCAGGUAACCUUCAGUGAUGGAGGUUCGCUGGGGCUCAUAAACGUCUCUCCUCUGCGAGGACAACUUUUUGAACGUUUGAUCUCAAAUCAGGUAGGACUACCCGCUGAACUUAA